CCUACGGGGGGCAGCAGUUAGGAAUCAUCUGCAAUGCGCGAAAGCGUGACAGUUUGAGUCAGAGUGCUCCUCAUUGAGGAGCUUUUGCCAAAUGUAAAAAGUUUGGCGAAUAAGGACUGGGCAAGACGAGUGCCAGCCGCCGCGGUAAUACUCGCGGUCCAAGUCGCAGCCAUAAUUAUUGGGUCUAAAACAUCCGUAGCUUGUCGAGUAAGUUUCUUGUGAAAUCUCAUCUCUUAAAGGUGAGGCGAGCGGGAAAUACUGUUCGGCUAGAGACCGGAAGACGGAAGAAGUACGUUUAAAGUAACGGUAAAAUGUGUUGAUCUUAAACGGACUCACAAUAGCGAAGGCAUCUUUCGAGUACGGUUCUGACAGUCAGGGAUGAAGGCUAGGGGCGCAAAACAGAUUAGAUACCCGUGUAGUC
Molecule: ribosomal RNA, 421 nt
Filed under: uncultured microorganism
Description: bacterial SSU rRNA
Rfam family: Archaeal small subunit ribosomal RNA
Source: RNAcentral